AUUGAACGCUGGCGGCAGGCCUAACACAUGCAAGUCGAGCGGAUGAAGGGAGCUUGCUCCUGGAUUCAGCGGCGGACGGGUGAGUAAUGCCUAGGAAUCUGCCUGGUAGUGGGGGAUAACGUCCGGAAACGGGCGCUAAUACCGCAUACGUCCUGAGGGAGAAAGUGGGGGAUCUUCGGACCUCACGCUAUCAGAUGAGCCUAGGUCGGAUUAGCUAGUUGGUGGGGUAAAGGCCUACCAAGGCGACGAUCCGUAACUGGUCUGAGAGGAUGAUCAGUCACACUGGAACUGAGACACGGGCCAGACUCCUAAGGGAGGGAGCAGUGGGGAAUAUUUGACAAUGGGCGGAAGCCUUAUCCAGCCAUGGCGCGUGGUGGAAGGAGGUCUUCGGAUUUUAAAACACUUUUAGUUGGGAGGAAGGGGAGUAAGUUUAUACCUUGCUUUUUUGACGGUACCAAAAGGAUAAGCAACGGCUAACUUCGGG
Molecule: ribosomal RNA, 484 nt
Filed under: uncultured bacterium
Lineage: Bacteria
Description: partial 16S ribosomal RNA
Rfam family: Bacterial small subunit ribosomal RNA
Source: RNAcentral